This 457-nucleotide ribosomal RNA is filed under the name uncultured bacterium. Its description in RNAcentral is "partial 16S ribosomal RNA". It matches the Rfam family "Bacterial small subunit ribosomal RNA", at positions 28 to 523 of the family's 1533-position model. The record is from RNAcentral.
GAUGAACGCUGGCGGCGUGCCUAAUACAUGCAAGUCGUACGGAAAGGCCCUUCGGGGUACUCGAGUGGCGGACGGCUGAGUAACGCGUGGGAACGUGCCCCAAAGUGAGGGAUAACGCACCGAAAGGUGUGCUAAUACCGCAUAUGGUCUUCGGCUUAAAGCUUCGGCGCUUUGGGAGCGGCCCGCGUACGAUUAGGUAGUUGGAGAGGUAAUGGCUCACCAAGUCGACGAUCGUUAGCUGGUCUGAGAGGAUGAUCAGCCAGACUGGGACUGAGACACGGCCCAGACUCCUACGGGAGGCAGCAGUAAGGAAUCUUCCACAAUGGGGGCAACCCUGAUGGAGCAACGCCGCGUGCAGGAUGAAGGUUUUCGGAUCGUAAACUGCUUUUAUAAGUGAAGAAUAUGACGGUAACUUAUGAAUAAGGAUCGGCUAACUACGUGCCAGCCGCCGCAGUAA